UACGGGGGGGGCAAGCGUUGUUCGGAAUUACUGGGCGUAAAGGGCUCGUAGGCGGCCAACUAAGUCGGACGUGAAAUCCCUCGGCUUAACCGGGGAACUGCGUCCGAUACUGGAUGGCUUGAGUUCGGGAGAGGGAUGCGGAAUUCCAGGUGUAGCGGUGAAAUGCGUAGAUAUCUGGAGGAACACCGGUGGCGAAGGCGGCAUCCUGGACCGACACUGACGCUGAGGAGCGAAAGCAUGGGGAGCGAACGGG
Molecule: ribosomal RNA, 253 nt
Filed under: uncultured bacterium
Lineage: Bacteria
Description: partial 16S ribosomal RNA
Rfam family: Bacterial small subunit ribosomal RNA
Source: RNAcentral